AGCGUGCGCAGGCGGUUAUGUAAGACAGAUGUGAAAUACCCCGGGCCUCAACCUGGGAACUGCAUUUGUGACUGCAUGGCUAGAGUACGGUAGAGGGGGAUGGAAUUCCGCGUGUAGCAGUGAAAUGCGUAGAUAUGCGGAGGAACACCGAUGGCGAAGGCAAUCCCCUGGACCUGUACUGACGCUCAUGCACGAAAGCGUGGGGAGCAAACAGGAUUAGAUACCCUAGU
This 230-nucleotide ribosomal RNA is filed under the name uncultured bacterium. RNAcentral describes it as "partial 16S ribosomal RNA". It matches the Rfam family "Bacterial small subunit ribosomal RNA", at positions 564 to 791 of the family's 1533-position model. The record is from RNAcentral.